UGGGGAAUAUUGCACAAUGGGCGCAAGCCUGAUGCAGCCAUGCCGCGUGUGUGAAGAAGGCCUUCGGGUUGUAAAGCACUUUCAGCGGGGAGGAAGGCGAUAAGGUUAAUAACCUUGUCGAUUGACGUUACCCGCAGAAGAAGCACCGGCUAACUCCGUGCCAGCAGCCGCGGUAAUACGGAGGGUGCAAGCGUUAAUCGGAAUUACUGGGCGUAAAGCGCACGCAGGCGGUCUGUCAAGUCGAAUGUGAAAUCCCCGGGCUCAACCUGGGAACUGCAUUCGAAACUGGCAGGCUAGAGUCUUGUAGAGGGGGGUAGAAUUCCAGGUGUAGCGGUGAAAUGCGUAGAGAUCUGGAGGAAUACCGGUGGCGAAGGCGGCCCCCUGGACAAAGACUGACGCUCAGGUGCGAAAGCGUGGGGAGCAAACAGG
This 429-nucleotide ribosomal RNA is filed under the name Chloroflexota bacterium. RNAcentral describes it as "Chloroflexi bacterium partial 16S ribosomal RNA". It matches the Rfam family "Bacterial small subunit ribosomal RNA", at positions 355 to 776 of the family's 1533-position model. The record is from RNAcentral. Lineage: Bacteria; Bacillati; Chloroflexota.